UGCAAUCGAGCGAGGCGUGUAGCAAUACACAGUCGAGCGGCGAACGGGUGAGUAACGCGUGGAUUAUCUGCCCUGAGGUGGGAGAUAACCCGGGGAAACUCGGGCUAAUACCGCAUAGGACCGUGAGGUCAAAGGGGGGUCGCAAGAUCUCUCGCCAUAGGAGGAGUCCGCGUCCGAUUAGCUAGUUGGUAGGGUAAUGGCCUACCAAGGCGACGAUCGGUAGCCGGCCUGAGAGGGUGAUCGGCCACACUGGAACUGAGACACGGUCCAGACUCCUACGGGAGGCAGCAGUGGGGAAUUUUGCGCAAUGGGCUAACGCCUGACGCAGCAACGCCGCGUGGAGGAUGAAGGUCCUUGGAUUGUAAACUCCUGUCAGCAGGGAAAAAGCAACUCAACCUAAUACGUUGAGAAGUUGAUUGUACCUGCAGAGGAAGCCCCGGCUAACUCUGUGCCAGCAGCCGCGGUAAUACAGAGGGGGCAAGCGUUAUUCGGAAUUAUUGGGCGUAAGGGGCGCGUAGGCGGCCUGGCAAGUGGAUGGUGAAAUCCCUCGGCUUAACCGAGGAACUGCCAUCCAGACUGCUUGGCUUGAGACCGGGAGAGGUGAGUGGAAUUCCCAGUGUAGCGGUGAAAUGCGUAGAUAUUGGGAGGAACACCAGUGGCGAAGGCGGCUCACUGGACCGGUACUGACGCUGAGGCGCGAAAGCGUGGGGAGCAAACGGGAUUAGAUACCCCGGUAGUCCACGCCGUAAACGAUGAGUGCUUGGUGUAGCGGGUAUCGACCCCUGCUGUGCCGAAGUCAACACAUUAAGCACUCCGCCUGGGGAGUACGGUCGCAAGGCUGA
RNAcentral lists this ribosomal RNA (842 nucleotides) under uncultured bacterium gp7. RNAcentral's name for it is "bacterial SSU rRNA". It matches the Rfam family "Bacterial small subunit ribosomal RNA", at positions 56 to 897 of the family's 1533-position model. The record is from RNAcentral.